AGCGAACGCCGGCGGUAGGCCUAACACAUGCAAGUCGAACGGCAGCACAGUAAGAGCUUGCUCUUACGGGUGGCGAGUGGCGGACGGGUGAGGAAUACAUCGGAAUCUACUUUUUCGUGGGGGAUAACGUAGGGAAACUUACGCUAAUACCGCAUACGACCUACGGGUGAAAGCAGGGGAUCUUCGGACCUUGCGCGAAUGAAUGAGCCGAUGUCGGAUUAGCUAGUUGGCGGGGUAAAGGCCCACCAAGGCGACGAUCCGUAGCUGGUCUGAGAGGAUGAUCAGCCACACGGGAACUGAGACGCGGUCCAGACUCCUACGGGAGGCAGCAGUGGGGAAUAGUGGACAAUGGGCGCAAACCUGAUCCAGCCAUACGGCGUGGGUGAAGAAGGCCUUCGGGUUGUAAAGCCCUUUUGUUGGGAAAGAAAAGCAGCAGGUUAAUACCCAGCUGUUCUGACGGUACCCAAAGAAUAAGCACCGGCUAACUUCGUG
Molecule: ribosomal RNA, 492 nt
Filed under: uncultured bacterium
Lineage: Bacteria
Description: partial 16S ribosomal RNA
Rfam family: Bacterial small subunit ribosomal RNA
Source: RNAcentral